GAUGAAGAACGUAGUGAAAUGCGAUAAGUAGUGUGAAUUGCAGAAUUCAGUGAAUCAUCGAAUCUUUGAACGCACAUUGCGCCCCUUGGUAUUCCAUGGGGCAUGCCUGUUCGAGCGUCAUUUGUACCUUCAAGCUCUGCUUGGUGUUGGGUGUUUGUCUCGCCUCUGCGUGUAGACUCGCCUCAAAACAAUUGGCAGCCGGCGUAUUGAUUUCGGAGCGCAGUACAUCUCGCGCUUUGCACUCAUAACGACGACGUCCAAAAGUACAUUUUUACACUCUUGACCUCGGAUCAGGUAGGGAUACCCGCUGAACUUAAGCAUAUCAAUAAGCGGGGGA
This 337-nucleotide unclassified non-coding RNA is filed under the name soil metagenome. Its description in RNAcentral is "partial contains 5.8S ribosomal RNA, internal transcribed spacer 2, and large subunit ribosomal RNA". The stretch from base 1 to 120 matches the Rfam family "5.8S ribosomal RNA", at positions 35 to 154 of the family's 154-position model. The record is from RNAcentral.